GGCCUUCUCUUGCAAGAAGGCCUCUGAAAGGCCUCUGAAGCAUCCCCCUUGCUUCACAGUCAUGCCUUAUUUAUGUUAGUGCUUUUUGGUAGUACGCACAUUUGUGAAAAAUAUUGUCAAGAAGACUACACUUCCUUGCAUGGGAAAAGUAAAAUUUCAUCAGAGAUCUCUGAUGAGCACCUUGAGAACUCACUAAGAAUUGCAACCACUGCCACUGAAGCAGCCUGAUGCAUCACUGUCACAAAAACAAGGUCAUAUAUCCCACUAGUUUUAUGCUUUUGUUACUCGCUUUUUAAAAUAUGUUUUAAUCUUUAAGAAGUUAACAUAAAUUUUGUUACUUACAUGAAGUAGCCAUAUGAUAUACUUUACAAGGACUAAUCUGAAAGUAAUGCCACCUAUUUUAUGAUGUUGGCCCAUGACGUUAGAGGCAGAUGUUUGUAGGAUAGAAGUUGAACCUUCCCACAGGUAUUCCAUCACACGUUGUUGCCAUGUGACAGAUGGCUGCAGAGGGGCAGUCUGACAAAAUGCUGUCUGACAUGGAAGAGCAUAUAACCAAAGAUGUGGAAAAAUUGCUACCUAUUGACAUUCAGCUGGUGAAUGUUUAUGGAGACCAAACAGUGUAUGUGAGCACAGUGAGGAGGUGAGUGGUCCAUUGUGACAGUAGCAGUGGGUCACCUCCACUGGUGCAUGUUUUGACAAGCAUGGCGUGCAGGCUUUUGUUCAUUGAUGGUGAAAAAGCUUAGCUAAUGGUGGUGACUAUGUUGAAAAAUAAUGCUUUCUAGAUAGUAAUUUGAUCUAUCAAAUAUUGUUUCUGUGCUCUUUGUAUCAGUUGCAGUUUCUACGGGAAUACAUAUGAAGCAUUACUUUUGGAGUGACCUAUGUAUAUGGAGCUCAAAACUCAUUGUGAUCAAAGGGUUGGAUACUAACUCACUAACAUGUUUGUAUGGGAACUGUUGAAUCACAGCCUGAACCUCUGAUUGACCACCUGAGGCAAGCACUGAGUCAGCCACAGGGGCACAGGUGAAUGCAAUUUCACCUGAGUGACCAGAAGGGGUGGAGCCUGGCUGGGCUGUUAGACCCCAUUUAAGGGCUGACUCCCAAGGAGGAAGGAUCUCUAUCUGGAGAUCACUCCCCUUGGAGCCCUUCUGCAAGCCCAGGAUAUGGGUAAGAUCUUCAUUUAAUUACUCCUUUGUAAUCAUGAUAAUCUCUCUGGUCCUAUACCUAUUUACCUUACAAUUUGUAUACCUGUUUGCCAAGUACAUGUUCAUUCAUGAGGGGAAAAAAAAAAUGGAAAACCCACUUAGAUCACCAUUUCCAUCACUUUGCUACAGCUGCUCCAAUAAAUGUAUGCUAUGUGCAUUCUUCUGUGUUCCCAUUGUGCAGAGGGAGCCCCGUGCUCUUUGGGACCCAGCUCUGGGGUUGGAUCCUACCCCAGCAAGCUCUACACCAUGCUUUUGGAGUCCGGGGGUGGGAGGGAGCCUUAAACAUCCCAGCUACAGCUCAGCGAUGCCCCUGGGUCGCUACGAAGGCCAUCCCCGGGGCAGGGGAAGCCGCUGUCCCCUUGUCCAGGCGCCUCCUGACGGCCAAGGCAGAAGUUCUUGGAGCCCGGAUGCAGACGCUACAAUGGCACAACCCUGUGGCAGCGAGGGGAAGAGCAUUAUAGUAUUUUUGGCCUGCAAACUGUCUGCAUGUGCCACGCGGCAGCUACUCGCUUUACGCACUAACAAGUUGAUUCGUGUUUGAGAAGACUUUUUUUUUAUUAUUUAUGUCUGACAGGAAAAAGACCUUAUGCUCUAUAAUGGACCAUUUUGGGUAGAAAGGAGCUGCUGCCUGCCAUGCAUCUGAACAACAUCCCAACACUGGAAGGUUUAUGAACCCAGACAAACCUUGCAUCCUAAUGGCUACCUUCCAGCGUGAGGUUGUCCCCCUCCCCCCCAACAGCGAUAACAGUGAUUUAAUUAUGUUUUAGCUUUCUCCAAACCUGGAGGAAGCACAAAAGCAGGUUUUAUUUUUCUUAGGACUGAGCAAGAGCAGUGACGCGUUGGUGCCUGGAGCACUCAGGAACAUUCCCUCCCAAGAGUGUCUUGACAGAGGACAGUCCUAAUCACCUGCACUGUGGUUUUGUUUCGUGAUUUCUGGAUUAACUUCCAGAAUUUCAGAUCACUUAGAACACUUCUAUUAACAUGCCUUUGAGACAACCAAGUUGAUAGCAUUACACACACGUUAUGUGCAUGCUGGAUAGCAUGGAGGGCCUCCAGAUCACUCAGAGGUAAGCACAGAUUUCUUUCUUCCCUUCACAAAUUAUGUAUUCAACUUCAAAGUCUGAGAGACAAAGAUUUUCUAGGUCACUGUGGGCAGGUAUGCUUUUUGAGCACAGACCUUACUUUCUUGCUUGCGCACCCCUACCCCACCACAGCCUUUUUGCACAGGGGUUAUCUCCCAGGCACAAAGACCACAGCCUUCAGCAAUGCAAGCACACACCAAACAGUGUCCAAACUUCGUUAUUUAAACAGAGACAAAAAAUAAACAAAGAAACAACAACAAAAAAAAACCAACCCAGCUUCAUCGACAUUUUGUUGUUAUGCUCCAGUCCUCGUACAGGAUGCGCAUCCGCUGUGCGGGGCCGAAGCCCCGGGGAGGAGUGAAGCUGGGACGAUGCCGGCCGGCGUCCCGUCCUGUCGCUGUCACUCAGAGCCGGGCAAGCGGGGAAGAGCGGCGCACGGCAGCACCUUGGACAGAGCCACACCGCGCACUGCCCAGCCCAGGUGCUCUGCUAUUGCCUAUGAUACCCGUUGUACUGCCGUGGCCUUUGCGUGCGGGAAACAACCGCCGUGGGGUACCAACGACUCUCUCCGGGGUCCCUCAGCCGGCUCCCGCCAUGCCCAGCCCCGCGGCGGGGACGGCCACAGGAGGCGGCGGAAAGCGGCGGCUCCGCGAUCCCACCAUCGCUGCGCUCCUGAGGGAAAGCGGGGCCGCUUCCGGUGCGAGGCGGAUAUGGGCGGAAGUGGCGCCGCCGCACCGCCUGCUCACAGGGCGCCGCCAUGCGGAGCGGAGGUUAGCAGGGUGCUGGGAGCCCAAGUGCCGCCCCGUCCAGGCUGGGAUCCCACCAAGGGCGUCUCAUCCAGGCUGGAACCCUUCCAUUGCCCCCGAUAGCUGACUUUUCCCGGAUGCAGACAAAUUGACUGAGUUCUUGUAGAGUGUUGAUCCUCAUUUCCAACGCCUGCUCCUCUCCACGUCAGCUCUGUGGAAGUAAGAUGGCAAUUUGGGGCUUAGAUAUUGACAGGUGACUUCGGAGAACAGUGCCCAUAAAGUAAAAGCUAUUAUCCCAAAGUGCAAGCCAAGGGCAAAGAAAAAUCUACCCUUCAAAUCUCUUACAGAAAGAUCUCUGCAUCACCUGCACUGAACUAUCUCUGAGAAUCUUUUAUACCCCCAUUUAAGUGUGGGUGAGAAACCCAUAAUAGCAGUGAGCAAGCGGUAGGGGAUUUCUGCUUUCUAACAAAGAUGCUUAGUCCUUUUAUACCCAGUAUGCAUGAAAACAGACCCUUAGGAUUUGGAGUCUAACAUCUACAGUGUACAGAUAAAGUGGCGUUGACCUGAAAAUCAUUAUGACCUUCUACUUUGCAAAGAUGUGAACUCUGACUUUAAGAAACAAGCGAAUUAAAAUAUGUUUAGACAAAAAGUGGUUAUUUAUCUGUUUUUAAUUCUGAUACCACAUUUCCCAAUCAAAGAGAAAUUUCUCCGGAAAUGAAUUCAUGUAUCUGUGGUCUACUAGAGGUGACUUUGAUGGACUUUAACUUUAUUAGAGUCAAAGAAUCCUUAUGGUUGGAAAAGACCUCUGAGAUCAUCUAGUCUGACUAUGCACCUACCACCAACACUGCCCACUAAAACACAUCCCUAAGUACCACAUCUGCAUCUUUCUGUAACACCUUCAGGGACAGGGACUCCCUGGGCAGCCUGUUGCAGUGCCUGACCACUCUUUUGGAGACUGAGUUUUUCCUAAUAACCUGAUGAGCUGAUAACAACUAAUCAGGCUGUUAUUAAGAUUUCUCCAGCCCUCACUGAAUGUCCUUGCUUUGGUUUCAUAAACAGUAGUUACUUAUCUUUUAAUCAUAAUUAAAAUCACUGGUCAUCUUGUUUGUGAUAUCAGGGUAAUAUAAAUGAGUAUCAGAGUUUUUUAUUAAAACUAUGAUGGAGGCAUAUUUUGACUUGGCAGUAACAAAGUGGCUCCAUUCAGCACAGCUCACCUUCAAUCAGUUAUGCUUGUUCUUGUCUGAUCGUUGGCUACACACACAGGGUUGUUAGUAGGCUAAGGCUGAGUGCUGUUUUCCUGCUGAAGAAGGAAGGUGUGCUGAGGAAUGCAGUGUGGGCUGCUUGAUGCGUGCUUCACUCCUUCCCAUGGAGCUUGUGCAUCUCCCCCACUCUAGAGCUUGUUUAUUUCUUCCUUGACACGUUUUCCUUUAGAGCAAAAUGGUAAAGAUUUGGAUUCUAGUGCAAAAACAGAAAAACCAUGAACUGCUAUG
This is a long non-coding RNA of Gallus gallus (chicken), 4520 nucleotides long. RefSeq lists it as uncharacterized. Lineage: Eukaryota; Metazoa; Chordata; Aves; Galliformes; Phasianidae. The transcript is spliced from 2 exons. The record is from RefSeq and is a predicted model, not a curated record.